RNAcentral lists this long non-coding RNA (328 nucleotides) under Danio rerio (zebrafish). RNAcentral's name for it is "si:dkey-46i9.3 (ENSDARG00000104273.2)". Lineage: Eukaryota; Metazoa; Chordata; Actinopteri; Cypriniformes; Danionidae. The record is from RNAcentral.
CAUAGAGCGAGUGGUUAGUGUUUGGUAGAGGGAACCGCAUGGUGAACUAAUGCUACCAACCCACUCGGGACUGAAGGGUGCUAUAGAUGGUGGUUGUGUGUUAUUGGACUACACUAAGAUGGCUGAUGGGUUUUAAUGGAACGUUAUGAUCAUCAGCGGUCUAUUCUGGAAGGUGAGGAACACCGGCGAGUGAGCUAACAUCGCAUUCUGAGACUGGAUUGAUACGGCCGAACCCGAUGUCUUCGUCAUCCAGACCAUCGAGCACCUGCGCAGCCAGCUGGAGAAACAGGGAAGAGGACAGUAUUUACAUGACACAUAGAAAUCUGAU